UCCUACACCAUUGGGUGUGGCAAAAGGGCUCCUCCAUGGUGUGUGUGCAAGCAUGGCCAUGGCUGAUUGUAAACUCAAAUGUUUUUCACUUAUUUGGUGACUUGGGACUCUGUCAUUCCCAUCUAAGAUAAAAGGGAAAUUUCCUCAAGGACUGCAGUGUACUUUGCCCUUACAGCCCUCUGCUCGUGGUACACAGUUCCAGCACUCUUUCUCUUCUCACAGGGGCAGCCUUCCCAAGUAUUCUUGACAGGUGCCUGAGGAAGAUGCUUCUGGAAUUCAUCUACUAGCUCAUGAGGUUAACUGUGAAGCUGCCACAAAGGAGUUACUGCCCCAGUACAUGCUUUAAAGCUUGAGAACUCAUCAUGCUGCAGUGGGGGAAACACUCUUCUGAAUGUAUCAGGAGAAGAACUGCUUCCAUCUAGGAGGGCUGGAUGCAGUCUCCAAGUCUGAUGACAGCCCAGAGUCCUUCAAGACAUCUACAGCUGACAUUCCAGGACAAUGUUGUGAUGGCAUGAAAGAGCUCAGAGGGGGUGCUGUAAACAUUGCCACUUUUCAGAUGAACUAUAUUUUCCAGCUGGGAGGUUCUGUGAUUACAAGUGUGAAGGGGGAAGUUGCUCUCUUCACUGACUUCAUGUUCAAAAGUGCUUGACUUCCACUGGGACUUAGCCCUGUUGAAAAACAAGGCAUUUAUUUACCCGCCUGUCUUUGGAUGUCAAGGGCCCACAGUCCCAUGGAGUAUGUAUCAACGCAUAACUAAAGGAGAAGAAACAAUGCAGCAAACCUUAAUGUUUGUGACUACAGUAGCUACUAAUGAGCUCUUCUGCUGAUAACCAAUAUUUUUUAUUUUUUCCUCCCAAACUGCCUAAGCCAUAGUUGUUUCAAAAUCAUUUCCUAUAUCCUCAUUUAGUCCAUCUGAUAAUGCCAUCAGACAUUGUCUCCUGAGAAGACUGAAAGGGGGAGUAUCCAGAGCCAGUUUAAAAUUCACUUUUCUCCACUUGCUUUUUAAUCCGUGUCAAGUUAUGGUAGAUAUUCUUUUCUAAGAGACAGUUCAGGCUUCUUGAUCUGUCUUAGCAGCGCUGUUUUGCUUUUCAAAUCAGCAAACAAGAAGCCAUGCCUUAAAUAAGCCACUUCAUUAUCUUUUGUUUUGGAUAUUUUAGGGUUUUUCCUAAAAAAACCCAAAGCAAUAAAUUGUUUAUAAUU
Melopsittacus undulatus (budgerigar) is the source of this 1200-nucleotide long non-coding RNA. RefSeq lists it as uncharacterized. NCBI's taxonomy places the organism in Eukaryota, Metazoa, Chordata, Aves, Psittaciformes, Psittaculidae. The transcript is spliced from 4 exons. The record is from RefSeq and is a predicted model, not a curated record.